GAAUUGACGGGGGCCCGCACAAGCAGUGGAGCAUGUGGUUUAAUUCGAAGCUACGCGAAGAACCUUACCAGGGCUUGACAUAGUGUCUAAGACUCUAGAGAUAGAGGGAUAAUAGGUACAUACAGGUGGUGCAUGGUUGUCGUCAGCUCGUGUCGUGAGAUGUUAGGUUAAGUCCUCCAACGAGCGCAACCCUUGUCCUUAGUUGCCAGCAUUUAGUUGGGGACUCUAGGGAGACCGCCGGCGUAAGCCGGAGGAAGGUGGGGAUGACGUCAAAUCAUCAUGCUCUUUAUGUCCUGGGCGACACACGUGCUACAAUGGUCGGUACAAUGAGAUGCAAAAUCGCGAGGUAGAGCAAAUCUAUAAAGCCGAUCUCAGUUCGGAUUGGAGUCUGCAACUCGACUCCAUGAAGUCGGAAUUGCUAGUAAUCGCAAAUCAGCCAUGUUGCGGUGAAUACGUUCCCGGGCCUUGUACACACCG
Molecule: ribosomal RNA, 477 nt
Filed under: uncultured Bacteroidota bacterium
Lineage: Bacteria; Pseudomonadati; Bacteroidota
Description: bacterial SSU rRNA
Rfam family: Bacterial small subunit ribosomal RNA
Source: RNAcentral